Molecule: long non-coding RNA, 728 nt
Organism: Anopheles merus
Lineage: Eukaryota; Metazoa; Arthropoda; Insecta; Diptera; Culicidae
Exons: 3
Source: RefSeq, a predicted model, not a curated record
AAUCGAUGAGCUGUUGCUAAUUUCUGCGCAAUAUUUUGCGCCACGCAUUAGGUUUGGAGUGCGUGCGGCAGUGGUUUCGUGCGAAUGAGUGGAGUAGUUGGAAAGAAGGUUUGAACACGCAUCGAUACGGUGGUGAGUUAGCUUGGAAACACAAAACAUUAGUAUACGAUUUGUAAAUUUGAGAAACGAUCGUCAAUAAACGAGUUCACUCAAACUCAAUUGAACUGAACAUCAUCAACCAUAAGUAUGUACAAAAAUCAAUACCAUAGCAGAAUAGAUUCGAGCACACCUCUCCAAAAAACCACUAUAACCCAACAAAACCCAUCUGAAGCUGCAAACCACCGUUGCACCAGCCAUGAACAGCCCACGCUUGGAUCACUUCGGCUUUGCGACGGACUCUUUUCGCAAAUUGUACUUGAGAAAUAAUUUAUUCCACGACACGACAAUUAUGCCUUUACGUUAAGAUUUGUCUAACAGAAACUUAAACAUAAAUUAAAAAUUAAACUUAGUUCAAACAGAAAAUUAAGGUCAAACAAUCAUGACGAACUUGUGCAGUUUUAACAUGGAGUUGGAUAAAAAGAAGCAACAUUUGCCUCGUGCACUUUGUAUUACCUUGUAGACACUUGGAUGAUGUGUAUAGAAAGACAUCUUCAGUGGAAUAUAUACAUUAUGUAUUCCUAGCCUAUAUUACACGAUUUCGACUACAGUUAGUAAUCUAGUAAUAUUCA